UCCUCCCUUGGUCGACACAACAAGAAUCCGCCUUUUUAGCGUCUGCAUUUAGCGUCCGACGAUACAAGCGGACGGUAAAUUUAAAAUUAGCGUCCGAUUAAAGACAGAUGCAAAUUAGCGUCCGCUUUUUGAGAUUUAGCGUUCGUUUAAAAAAAGGACGCUAAUUAGCAUCUGUUUAGUUAAAAUACCGUCCGUUAGACGGACGCUAAAUAUGAGGUAUAAAUUUUAAAAAAAACCUCCAGUCGACCAAAUUAUCAACCCUAACACACGCCUCUCUCUUCCUCACUCUCAUCUCACGUUUCUCUCUCUUCCUCACUCUCAUCUCACAUUUUGGUGCUCUCUCUUUCUUGUAGAUCUCACGAAAUCAGAUAUCUGCUGCAACAUUUCCAGUUGGCCUAAUAAUGUCAGAGGUAAGUGCAUCACUUGAGAAAUACUGCUCCGUCUAGUUGCACGGAAAUGGAAAUGGAAAUGGAAAUGGAAAUGGCAAUGCGGAUACUGCUGGAGCAAGGAGCCAUCAUCUUUGAGUGCAUGCAGGAUUACCAAGUUACAGGAAUGAUUAUAGUAUUGGGGGUUAUAAGAUUUGCAUUUGAGUUCCAGAUUUGAAGUUGGUUUUGAUCCAAAUACCAGAUACCAGAUUUGAUGUCCGUUUUGGUUCUAGAUUUUUGUUGAGUUUAAAGUGUACAUGUAAUAUGAGAUUUGUAUUAGAUUUUGUUCUAAGUAUACUAGAAUUUAGUUCUAGAAUUAUUUUUUCACUUGUAUCUACAUUUAUUAUUAAUAAUAAUUGAAUUGAUUAAUUUGUUUGCCUUAAUAAAAUAAGUAUGGUAUUUGCAUCA
Molecule: long non-coding RNA, 833 nt
Organism: Beta vulgaris subsp. vulgaris (sugar beet)
Lineage: Eukaryota; Viridiplantae; Streptophyta; Magnoliopsida; Caryophyllales; Amaranthaceae
Exons: 4
Source: RefSeq, a predicted model, not a curated record